This is a non-coding RNA of Paramuricea clavata, 264 nucleotides long. The record is from the annotation of a GenBank genome assembly. NCBI's taxonomy places the organism in Eukaryota, Metazoa, Cnidaria, Anthozoa, Malacalcyonacea, Plexauridae.
CUCGUAUGGUUCCAUCAGUUGCGACAUCUCCAUGUCUUAACAUGUGUUUUAUCUUCCAACCCACGUCAGUUAGUUUGGUAACUACCUUCUCUCUUCCCUUGUUCCACAUGCUCUUACCAUCAACUACCCCGACUUAAUGUGCCCAUUCUUGUUUCUGCCCUUCUGUACCGUUCGACAUUCUUGUACUACCACAGGUUUUGGCUUCGCCGCGGUCCACUUAUGUACAACCACAUGUUUUGCAGUUGUGCACCCUCCUGAUAUCAA